Molecule: non-coding RNA, 73 nt
Organism: Trichechus manatus latirostris (Florida manatee)
Lineage: Eukaryota; Metazoa; Chordata; Mammalia; Sirenia; Trichechidae
Source: the annotation of a RefSeq genome assembly
GUCCAGCUAGCACAGUUGGUAGAGCAUGAGACUCUUAAUCUCAGGGUCAUGAGUUCGAGCCCCAUGUUGGACA